This is a microRNA precursor of Arabidopsis lyrata subsp. lyrata, 668 nucleotides long. It matches the Rfam family "MIR824 microRNA precursor family". The record is from Rfam. NCBI's taxonomy places the organism in Eukaryota, Viridiplantae, Streptophyta, Magnoliopsida, Brassicales, Brassicaceae.
CUUGAGUUGUCUCUCAUGUCUAGACCAUUUGUGAGAAGGGAGUUUUUGUUUGCACCAAUACCCACCAAUCUCUAAGUUUGUAAGAAGUAUUAUGCUCAAUUAAGGAAAAUAGCUAGUUCAACUUACCACACUACCCUUUUACAAACUAUCCUAUAUGUUAGAUGCUAGCAUGGCGUAAUUUUGUGUUCUCAUUCUGCAGCAGGGUUAGUUUCUUGUGUACCUCUAGAUAUUUAUUCUCUUGCUGCGUAGGGUUCCCAAGCUGCCAAAAACUUUUCAAAAUUAGAGAUCUGUUCCCCACUAACCCCCAUCCAAUAAGGAAGGUCUACCUGUAUGUAGCUCACAGCUAUUAAAGCUGUGCUCGCGUCUUGGUUUUACUGUUUUAGUUACCCCAUGAAAUCUGAUCCUUCAGAAGUUAGGUAUAGAAGUAAGUCGAUUAAGUUCAUUCAUGACUUUUCCAGAUGUUGCACAGAUAACUUUUUUAUUUGUAUUAUAACUAGUCCAAGCCGAUUCUCGAAAUCAUAUAAAAUCAUUUACACCUUGGUCAUGGUAGCCAAGAAUUUGUAUCUUACACUAGGUUUCCUAAUAAAUAAAAAUGGGGAGUGGGGAGGUGUUUGGUUAUAUUCCCUUCUCAUCGAUGGUCUAGAUGUGCGAGGUGACUCUCAUGGAGG